RNAcentral lists this ribosomal RNA (253 nucleotides) under uncultured bacterium. RNAcentral's name for it is "partial 16S ribosomal RNA". It matches the Rfam family "Bacterial small subunit ribosomal RNA", at positions 526 to 779 of the family's 1533-position model. The record is from RNAcentral.
CGUAGGGGCAAGCGUUGUCCGGAUUUAUUGGGCGUAAAGAGCGUGUAGGCGGUCAGGUAGGUCGGUUGUGAAAACUGGAGGCUCAACCUUCAGAGGUCGACCGAAACCCCCUGGCUAGAGUCCGGGAGAGGAGAGUGGAAUUCCUGGUGUAGCGGUGAAAUGCGCAGAUAUCAGGAAGAACACCCGUGGCGAAAGCGGCUCUCUGGAACGGUACUGACGCUGAGACGCGAAAGCGUGGGGAGCGAACAGGAUU